UACAGAGGGUGCAAGCGUUGUUCGGAAUCAUUGGGCGUAAAGCGUACGUAGGCGGCUCCUUAAGUCAGGUGUGAAAUCCCAGGGCUCAACCUUGGACGUGCACUUGAAACUGGAGAGCUUGAAUCUCGGAGAGGGUGGUGGAAUUCCCAGUGUAGAGGUGAAAUUCGUAGAUAUUGGGAGGAACACCGGUGGCGAAGGCGACCACCUGGACGAAGAUUGACGCUGAGGUACGAAAGCGUGGGGAUCAAACAGG
Molecule: ribosomal RNA, 253 nt
Filed under: uncultured bacterium
Lineage: Bacteria
Description: partial 16S ribosomal RNA
Rfam family: Bacterial small subunit ribosomal RNA
Source: RNAcentral